Molecule: ribosomal RNA, 855 nt
Filed under: Cercospora meliicola
Lineage: Eukaryota; Fungi; Ascomycota; Dothideomycetes; Mycosphaerellales; Mycosphaerellaceae
Description: eukaryotic LSU rRNA
Rfam family: Eukaryotic large subunit ribosomal RNA
Source: RNAcentral
AGCAUAUCAAUAAGCGGAGGAAAAGAAACCAACAGGGAUUGCCCUAGUAACGGCGAGUGAAGCGGCAACAGCUCAAAUUUGAAAUCUGGCGCAAGCCCGAGUUGUAAUUUGUAGAGGAUGCUUCUGGGUAGCGACCGAUCUAAGUUCCUUGGAACAGGACGUCAUAGAGGGUGAGAAUCCCGUAUGUGACCGGCCCGCACCCUUUACGUAGCUCCUUCGACGAGUCGAGUUGUUUGGGAAUGCAGCUCUAAAUGGGAGGUAAAUUUCUUCUAAAGCUAAAUACCGGCCAGAGACCGAUAGCGCACAAGUAGAGUGAUCGAAAGAUGAAAAGUACUUUGGAAAGAGAGUUAAAAAGCACGUGAAAUUGUUGAAAGGGAAGCGCCUGCAACCAGACUUCGCGGCAGUGUUCCGCCGGUCUUCUGACCGGUUCAUUCUCUGUCGCGAGGCCAUCAUCGUCUGGGCCCGCCGGAUAAGACCUGAGGAAUGUGGCUCCCCCUCGGGGGAGUGUUAUAGCCUCUGGUGAUGCGGCGUGGCUCGGGCGAGGUCCGCGCUUCGGCAAGGAUGAUGGCGUAAUGGUUGUCGGCGGCCCGUCUUGAAACACGGACCAAGGAGUCUAACAUCUAUGCGAGUGUUCGGGUGUCAAACCCCUACGCGUAAUGAAAGUGAACGGAGGUGGGAACCGCAAGGUGCACCAUCGACCGAUCCUGAUGUCCUCGGAUGGAUUUGAGUAAGAGCAUAGCUGUUGGGACCCGAAAGAUGGUGAACUAUGCCUGAAUAGGGUGAAGCCAGAGGAAACUCUGGUGGAGGCUCGCAGCGGUUCUGACGUGCAAAUCGAUCGUCAAAUUUGGGUAUAGG